RNAcentral lists this ribosomal RNA (318 nucleotides) under Klebsiella pneumoniae. Its description in RNAcentral is "bacterial SSU rRNA". It matches the Rfam family "Bacterial small subunit ribosomal RNA", at positions 1209 to 1533 of the family's 1533-position model. The record is from RNAcentral. Lineage: Bacteria; Pseudomonadati; Pseudomonadota; Gammaproteobacteria; Enterobacterales; Enterobacteriaceae.
GGGGGCUACGUGCUACAAUGGCAUAUACAAAGAGAAGCGACCUCGCGAGAGCAAGCGGACCUCAUAAAGUAUGUCGUAGUCCGUUGGAGUCUGCAACUCGACUCCAUGAAGUCGGAAUCGCUAGUAAUCGUAGAUCAGAAUGCUACGGUGAAUACGUUCCCGGGCCUUGUACACACCGCCCGUCACACCAUGGGAGUGGGUUGCAAAAGAAGUAGGUAGCUUAACCUUCGGGAGGGCGCUUACCACUUUGUGAUUCAUGACUGGGGUGAAGUCGUAACAAGGUAACCGUAGGGAACCUGCGGUUGGAUCACCUCCUUA